AAUUUCUAGUGUAGAGGUGAAAUUCGUAGAUAUUAGAAAGAAUACCAAUUGCGAAGGCAGCUUUCUGGAUCAUUACUGACACUGAGGAACGAAAGCAUGGGUAGCGAAGAGGAUUAGAUACCCUCGUAGUCCAUGCCGUAAACGAUGUGUGUUAGACGUUGGAAAUUUAUUUUCAGUGUCGCAGCGAAAGCGAUAAACACACCGCCUGGGGAGUACGACCGCAAGGUUAAAACUCAAAUGAAUUGACGGGGACCCGCACAAGUAGUGGAGCAUGUGGUUUAAUUCGAAGAUACGCGCAGAACCUUACCAACACUUGACAUGUUCGUCGCGACUUUAAGAGAUUAAAGUUUUCGGUUCGGCCGGACGAAACACAGGUGCUGCAUGGCUGUCGUCAGCUCGUGUCGUGAGAUGUUGGGUUAAGUCCCGCAACGAGCGCAACCCUCACUUUUAGUUGCCAUCAUUAAGUUGGGCACUCUGAAAGAACUGCCAGUGAUAAGCUGGAGGAAGGUGGGGAUGACGUCAAGUCCUCAUGGCCCUUACGUGUUGGGCUACACACGUGCUACAAUGGUAUUUACAACAGGAAGCAAGACGGCGACGUUUAGCAAAUCCUUAAAAAAUACCUCAGUUCGGAUUGCACUCUGCAACUCGAGUGCAUGAAGCUGGAAUUACUAGUAAUCGUGGAUCAGCGUGCCACGGUGAAUGCGUUCCCGGGUCUUGUACACACCGCCCGUCACACCAUGGGAGUUGGUUCUACCUUAAGGCAAGGUUUUAAACCCUUGACCACGGUAUAGUCAGCGACUGGGGUGAAGUCGUAACAAGGUAGCCGUAGGGGAACCUGCGGCUG
RNAcentral lists this ribosomal RNA (844 nucleotides) under marine metagenome. RNAcentral's name for it is "bacterial SSU rRNA". It matches the Rfam family "Bacterial small subunit ribosomal RNA", at positions 665 to 1520 of the family's 1533-position model. The record is from RNAcentral.